RNAcentral lists this ribosomal RNA (2908 nucleotides) under Pectobacterium carotovorum. RNAcentral's name for it is "bacterial LSU rRNA". It matches the Rfam family "Bacterial large subunit ribosomal RNA". Lineage: Bacteria; Pseudomonadati; Pseudomonadota; Gammaproteobacteria; Enterobacterales; Pectobacteriaceae. The record is from RNAcentral. RNAcentral also lists the same sequence under 1 other name.
UUAAGCGACUAAGCGUACACGGUGGAUGCCUAGGCAGUCAGAGGCGAUGAAGGGCGUGCUAAUCUGCGAUAAGCGUCGGUAAGCUGAUAUGAAGCGUUAUACCCGACGAUACCCGAAUGGGGAAACCCAGUGUGUUUCGACACACUAUCAUUACGUGAAUACAUAGCGUAAUGAGGCGAACCGGGGGAACUGAAACAUCUCAGUACCCCGAGGAAAAGAAAUCAACCGAGAUUCCCCUAGUAGCGGCGAGCGAACGGGGAGGAGCCCAGAACCUGAAUCAGUUUGUGUGUUAGUGGAAGCGUCUGGAAAGUCGCACAGUAAAGGGUGAUAGUCCCGUACACAAAAAUGCACAAAUUGUGAGUUCGAUGAGUAGGGCGGGACACGUGACAUCCUGUCUGAAUAUGGGGGGACCAUCCUCCAAGGCUAAAUACUCCUGACUGACCGAUAGUGAACCAGUACCGUGAGGGAAAGGCGAAAAGAACCCCGGCGAGGGGAGUGAAAUAGAACCUGAAACCGUGUACGUACAAGCAGUGGGAGCCUUGAUUAAUCAGGGUGACUGCGUACCUUUUGUAUAAUGGGUCAGCGACUUAUAUUCUGUAGCAAGGUUAACCGUAUAGGGGAGCCGUAGGGAAACCGAGUCUUAACUGGGCGUUAAGUUGCAGGGUAUAGACCCGAAACCCGGUGAUCUAGCCAUGGGCAGGUUGAAGGUUGGGUAACACUAACUGGAGGACCGAACCGACUAAUGUUGAAAAAUUAGCGGAUGACUUGUGGCUGGGGGUGAAAGGCCAAUCAAACCGGGAGAUAGCUGGUUCUCCCCGAAAGCUAUUUAGGUAGCGCCUCGUGAAUUCAUCUUCGGGGGUAGAGCACUGUUUCGGCUAGGGGGUCAUCCCGACUUACCAACCCGAUGCAAACUACGAAUACCGAAGAAUGUUAUCACGGGAGACACACGGCGGGUGCUAACGUUCGUCGUGAAGAGGGAAACAACCCAGACCGCCAGCUAAGGUCCCAAAGUCAUGGUUAAGUGGGAAACGAUGUGGGAAGGCACAGACAGCCAGGAUGUUGGCUUAGAAGCAGCCAUCAUUUAAAGAAAGCGUAAUAGCUCACUGGUCGAGUCGGCCUGCGCGGAAGAUGUAACGGGGCUAAACCAUGCACCGAAGCUGCGGCAGCGACACUUAGGUGUUGUUGGGUAGGGGAGCGUUCUGUAAGCCGUCGAAGGUGACCUGUGAGGGUUGCUGGAGGUAUCAGAAGUGCGAAUGCUGACAUAAGUAACGAUAAUGCGGGUGAAAAACCCGCACGCCGGAAGACCAAGGGUUCCUGUCCAACGUUAAUCGGGGCAGGGUGAGUCGACCCCUAAGGCGAGGCUGAAAAGCGUAGUCGAUGGGAAACAGGUUAAUAUUCCUGUACUCGGUGUUACUGCGAAGGGGGGACGGAGAAAGCUAGGUUAUCCGGGCGACGGUUGUCCCGGUUUAAGCGUGAAGGUGGAUGACUUUGGUAAAUCCGGGUCGUCAUUAACACUGAGGCGUGAUGACGAGUCACUACGGUGAUGAAGUAACCAAUGCUACGCUUCCAGGAAAAGCCUCUAAGCUCCAGGUAACAUCAAAUCGUACCCCAAACCGACACAGGUGGUCAGGUAGAGAAUACUCAGGCGCUUGAGAGAACUCGGGUGAAGGAACUAGGCAAAAUGGUGCCGUAACUUCGGGAGAAGGCACGCUGAUGGUAGGUGAAGUGACUUGCUCACGGAGCUGAAAUCAGUCGAAGAUACCAGCUGGCUGCAACUGUUUAAUAAAAACACAGCACUGUGCAAACACGAAAGUGGACGUAUACGGUGUGACGCCUGCCCGGUGCCGGAAGGUUAAUUGAUGGGGUCAGCCGCAAGGCGAAGCUCUUGAUCGAAGCCCCGGUAAACGGCGGCCGUAACUAUAACGGUCCUAAGGUAGCGAAAUUCCUUGUCGGGUAAGUUCCGACCUGCACGAAUGGCGUAAUGAUGGCCAGGCUGUCUCCACCCGAGACUCAGUGAAAUUGAACUCGCUGUGAAGAUGCAGUGUACCCGCGGCAAGACGGAAAGACCCCGUGAACCUUUACUAUAGCUUGACACUGAACCUUGAGCCUUGAUGUGUAGGAUAGGUGGGAGGCUUUGAAGCGUGGACGCCAGUCUGCGUGGAGCCAACCUUGAAAUACCACCCUUUAAUGUUUGAUGUUCUAACGUGGGCCCGUGAUCCGGGUUGCGGACAGUGUCUGGUGGGUAGUUUGACUGGGGCGGUCUCCUCCCAAAGCGUAACGGAGGAGCACGAAGGUUAGCUAAUCCUGGUCGGACAUCAGGAGGUUAGUGCAAAGGCAUAAGCUAGCUUGACUGCGAGAGUGACAGCUCGAGCAGGUGCGAAAGCAGGUCUUAGUGAUCCGGUGGUUCUGAAUGGAAGGGCCAUCGCUCAACGGAUAAAAGGUACUCCGGGGAUAACAGGCUGAUACCGCCCAAGAGUUCAUAUCGACGGCGGUGUUUGGCACCUCGAUGUCGGCUCAUCACAUCCUGGGGCUGAAGUAGGUCCCAAGGGUAUGGCUGUUCGCCAUUUAAAGUGGUACGCGAGCUGGGUUUAGAACGUCGUGAGACAGUUCGGUCCCUAUCUGCCGUGGGCGUUGGAAGAUUGAGAGGGGUUGCUCCUAGUACGAGAGGACCGGAGUGAACGCACCACUGGUGUUCGGGUUGUGAUGCCAAUUGCAUUGCCCGGUAGCUAAGUGCGGAAGAGAUAACCGCUGAAAGCAUCUAAGCGGGAAACUUGCCUCGAGAUGAGUCUUCCCUGGGCACUAGAUGCCCCUGAAGGGCCGUUGAAGACUACGACGUAGAUAGGCUGGGUGUGUAAGCGUAGCGAUACGUUGAGCUAACCAGUACUAAUGACCCGAGAGGCUUAACCUU